RNAcentral lists this ribosomal RNA (223 nucleotides) under uncultured prokaryote. Its description in RNAcentral is "partial 16S ribosomal RNA". It matches the Rfam family "Bacterial small subunit ribosomal RNA", at positions 524 to 746 of the family's 1533-position model. The record is from RNAcentral.
UACAGAGGGGGCUAGCGUUAUUCGGAAUUAUUGGGCGUAAAGGGCGCGUAGGCGGCCUUGCAUGUCUUCCGUGAAAUCCCUCGGCUUAACUGAGGACGUGCGGAAGAAACUGCGAGGCUCGAGUCCGGGAGAGGAGGGUGGAAUUCCCAGUGUAGCGGUGAAAUGCGUAGAUAUCAGGAGGAACACCGGUGGUGUAGACGGCUUUCUGGACCGUAACUGACGC